RNAcentral lists this long non-coding RNA (1953 nucleotides) under Capsella rubella. RNAcentral's name for it is "long non-coding RNA (CRUB_LNC000755)". The record is from RNAcentral. Lineage: Eukaryota; Viridiplantae; Streptophyta; Magnoliopsida; Brassicales; Brassicaceae.
ACCAUCUCCUUCUUCAAGUGAGGCUGAUCAUCAUCCCGGCGACGAUUCCGGCAAGAUCAUGAAGAAAAGAGAAGCUGGCGAUGGAGGAGAAGAUGAUCAACCUUCGCAGAAAGUGUAAGUUUCACAUAAGUUUCGAAAAAAAUAAAGAUAGACAUAUUUAGUAUUCACAUGAAUCAUGAUCAAACUUAGCUAGUUUAUUUGUUUUUAUUACUAACAUAAAAUCUUAAUUAGGUGAAAAAUUAAUAAAAUACAUUUCUUGUUUUUUUUUCCCACUUUCAGGUCUAAAUCAAGAAUCGUUUUCUUGAAAAUGAUUUUCUUGAAAUCAAGUUUUUCACUUUAAUAUUGAUUUCAAUUUCUUUUACACGAAACAAAAAAUAUAGAGUUUGCAUAUCAUCAAAUGACAUCUUUGACAACACCAUCGAGAUUUAAAUUUUGAUGAGAAUAUACAUAUUGCAGUUGUUAAUAUUUUUUUAUUAUUAAUAUGUAUAGGUAGAAUUAAAGUUUGAUAUCAUAAUAAUUGAAAGAAUGACAACUAAAAUUAUUUCAUUCAUAUUUUUCCGUAAUACAUAAUCUAAUAGUACUGAUUCAUUGGGACUCUAUUCUGCUAUGUGUCUGAAAGAUUGUAUAUUCAUUUUUUCGUACCUAUAACAUAAUUAUUGAUGCAUAAAUCUUAUCCCUAAAAGAAACCACUUAAACAAAACAACGUGUCCCAUUUAUCACGUUAAGUCAUAACACAAUCAUUUGAUGCCUUAAGCAUUAUUAAAUGUAGUUCCAAUGAAUCAAAGUCAAAUGUACGGUACGGUGCCAUAAACAAGAGAUAUAUGGUCCAGGCCCUAAUUAAGGAUUUUUAUUAUAUGGUUUUCAGAGUUAAGACGAAGAAGAAAGAGGAGAAGAAAAAAGAGCCACGAGUCUCGUUCAUGACUAAGACCGAAGUUGAUCACCUCGAAGACGGCUAUCGUUGGAGAAAGUACGGCCAAAAAGCAGUCAAAAACAGUCCUUAUCCUAGGUAAUUUUAAUUUAUAUCGCGCACUAUAAUAUAUACUUUAUAUCAUAAAAUAAAUAAAGGGUUUAAUUAGUUUAUUAUUACAUACUAAAAAAUAUAGAUAAGUAUUACAAAAUGUCUAGUUUUGUGUAAGUUUUUUGGUUUUUGAAUUCUUGAUCAUUGUUUUUCACUCAAACUAAUUUCUAAAUAAAGGGUUUAAUUAGUUUGUUAUUACAUACUAAAAAAUAUAGACAAGUAUUACAAAAUGUCUAGUUUUGAGUAAGUUUUUUGGCUUUUGAAUUCUUGAUUAUCAUUUUUCAAUCAAACUACUUUCUUUUUACGUUUUUAGUUUAUUAUAUUUGAAGGAAAAAAAAAACUAGACCAACUUAAUUUUGUUUGUUUAUUUUUCUUAUGAAGAUUCCAUCUAAGGCCUAAGCAUUUCUUGUAAUCUUGGAUUUUAUAUUUACUUGUUUAUUUUUCUAAAAAAUUAUAAUGUUUAUAAAGAUUGAAGUUUUCUUAAACUUUUAUGAUGAUUUUUCAGACUAACAUAAAUAUAUUUUCAUUCAAUUUAAUUUUUCUUCUAUUCAUUUUUUAUCAUUUCAAGAUCGACAUCCACAAGAAACAUUGGUCAAUUUCCUCUAUUUACACUCAUUAUGUUUUGGAUUCUGACAUUGUUUGAAAAGUCUUAUUAAUUUUGUUUAUAUAUGACAAAGGAAGAAAUUUUAAAAAUACAAUUUUGUAACUGACAUUACAAGUCGUCACAUGCAAAACACAAUGUAUACUAUAAUGUCAAUUACGUGAACAGGAGUUACUAUAGAUGCACGACGCAGAAGUGCAACGUGAAGAAGAGAGUGGAGAGAUCUUACCAAGAUCCAACGGUCGUGAUCACAACUUACGAGAGUCAGCACAACCACCCUAUCCCGACCAAUCGCCGCACGGCAAUGUUCUCCGGAACCACCGCAACUGAUUAU